This is a long non-coding RNA of Brassica napus (rape), 1798 nucleotides long. RefSeq lists it as uncharacterized. The record is from RefSeq and is a predicted model, not a curated record. The transcript has 5 exons. Lineage: Eukaryota; Viridiplantae; Streptophyta; Magnoliopsida; Brassicales; Brassicaceae.
UAAAGAUGUAUUUCCAGUUAUCACAAAUAUAUAAUCAAUUGACAACAACUUAAUUAUAUCCAACAUAAAAGAGUUUUCAUACCUUCUAAUAUUAUAAUAUCUCACUAUAUUAGUGGCUAAAUCAGUUUUCUCUAGCACAAAUACUCACUCCAUUCUUGGAGAUUAAGCUUUUCUAUCUAAUGAUAUUAGUAGUUUGAUCUCAAAAAAAAAAACGGUUGAACUGUACAUUGUAAUUGAAGAAAGAAAACAAUAAAAAAUCAACCGAAGACUUUUAAGGUAUAUGAAACAAAAAUUAGAAAUAGCAAUUAUCUACAAUUAAAGAAUAAGGUAAUAAAAUUUUAAAAAUAAAAAAAUAAAACAAAAAAUCUUUAUAAAUAAAGGAGACUUUAGUCUCUCCAUAGGCGUCCACGUCACCCUAUAAGGUUGGGCAUUUCACGACACGUGUCGUCACUUUAGGCUGUUUGCGAUUUUUGGUUUUUUGUUGGAUCUCUUAAUCCAUUGAUAUGAUAUGGGCUUUUAUUUCUUUUGCACAGUUAGCCCAAACUUGAGCACACAUGUUAGAAACCCACGCGCAUUAGGGUUCCCUCUGCAGUCUUCUUCUUGUGCGCGACCUCAACGAUGAAAACACACAGAAGCCUAAAGCGACGUUGCGAGCUACAUAACGUUCUCCACCAUUAAUAACUCUGUUCUUUACUCCGCGUUAACUUGAAGCAAUCAAUCUACCUCUUCGUAUCCCAUCGUAACCGGUUUCAGCUUUAGCUAUAAAUAUGGCAUCGCACCUUCCUGCGAUGUACAGUUCAACUCACUUAUGGGAAUCAACAUGGUUUCGAUUGAUGAGAAGUAGUUACAUAGCCCACAAACCCUAUACCUACAGAGUUGUUCAUGAUCAACUGAUGUUACUUGCCAAUACGAACACCCAAUUAUCAGGUUUACUCUUCCUAUAUGCUACAUAGAGCACCCAUUUCUCUUUUGAUUAAGAGUGUCUAGCCAGCCAGAACUUCCUGGAAGCGUUAGACUUUCCACCGCCCUCAUUUCAACUAUACACUUAGCGUGCUUCAGUUCUCAAUCUCUGAGACAUAACAUUACGCAGGAUGUGUCAAUGAUGGCGGGUUUUCCUCAACCUCCACCAAGAUGGAGAAUGAAAAAGCAAGCUCUCCAUGAAGAGUUUCAGAGAUAAAAAAGGAAUAGUUUGCAAUAAAGAUACAACUCCGCACAGCUCACGGUAAUAUCGCUCCUACAUUUGGAAAUGUGUUAUGAUUUUUUUCAAAUAUCAACACAGCUUACUGGAAUUUUUUUUGUGAAACAGGAUGCAUCUGUUGAAGACACAGAGGCGAGAACACUGCCAACAUAAAUAAAAAAUUUAGUCAUAACCUACACUUUUAAGUUAAAGCUGUUCGAGUUCAAGUUUUCUUCUUCUAAACAUCAGUUUUUAAGCACAGCAACGACCUUUAAUGACAAUGAACGUCAGCCCCUGCCAAACUUUGCGGAACAUAGAGGAACCCUGGCGCUGGAGCUGUGAACACUUAAGGCUUCUCAUGGUGUGACCAGAGAAGCCCCCAAGACCAACGGUGGAUUGAUGUUGUUGAUGGUUGAAGGAACUGCACAAAGCUUAACUUCUAAAGUUGUGUAGUUCUCAUCAGUCUGUCCACCGCAACUACUCCCUUUGAUUUAGGCUUUUUGUAUGUUUGAAUAGAUGCGUGUUUCUUUAUUUAAUACAUGUUACUUCUUUUUUUUUCUUUCAUUUGGUUGCCUUGAACUCGAUGUAAGUUUUAAUUCUAAUAACUUAAAUUCCAGUCAA